GAGGGAGAGUGAGUAAUGUCCUUGGAAGUCCAAUGGGGCUUCUCGGGUCGACAUUAACACACUGACAAAAUUAUAUUCAGAAUUAAAAAUAUUUUUAUACCACUUUUUAAUGUGUGAUUGUGUAAAGGUGAUCACCAGAUACCAACCUUUCGUGAACUUGCUUACACUCGUUCUCAUGGAGGGUCUCUGUGUGUGUGUGUGUGUGUUCGGUUCGGUCUCACCGGUGCAAUAUUUGGAGUCCGGGAGCAGGUUGAGAACAGCGCUGUCCUGUGACGAAGUCCUCAGUAAAAUAAUCCAAUGGCGUCAGGUUAUUUCCACGAGGAAGCAACUCAAAGUCACAGGUAAAUACAGCAGGUAAUAAGGAUCAGGCGAUCGAUCGCUAAAUCCUAAAGUGAGCACAUUGACGUCACAGGGAUUCCCGCAUCACGAGCGAACUCUCGCGAGAAGAAACAGAGCCCAC
Molecule: long non-coding RNA, 460 nt
Organism: Carassius gibelio (silver crucian carp)
Lineage: Eukaryota; Metazoa; Chordata; Actinopteri; Cypriniformes; Cyprinidae
Exons: 4
Source: RefSeq, a predicted model, not a curated record